RNAcentral lists this transfer RNA (72 nucleotides) under prasinophyte sp. MBIC10622. RNAcentral's name for it is "tRNA-Gly". It matches the Rfam family "tRNA". From Rfam's summary of the family: Transfer RNA (tRNA) molecules are approximately 80 nucleotides in length. Lineage: Eukaryota; Viridiplantae; Chlorophyta. The record is from RNAcentral.
GCGGAAGUAGCUUAGUGGGAGAGUACAACCUUGCCAAGGUUGGGGUCGAGGGUUCGAAUCCCUUCUUCCGCU